Molecule: long non-coding RNA, 823 nt
Organism: Canis lupus familiaris (dog)
Lineage: Eukaryota; Metazoa; Chordata; Mammalia; Carnivora; Canidae
Exons: 4
Source: RefSeq, a predicted model, not a curated record
UGCCGCCGGACUUCCGGCCGCCCGCACUUCCGCUGCUCCUGCCUCAGGGCGGAAGGAAGGACGUCGGGGGGCAGGUCGUGCUCCUCUUUCCUCUUCCUUUGGGAAGGCGAUGGUGUUCACGAUUUUUUACUAAUUCAUGUUUCUCUGCAUGUGCAUCAAUUGAUGCUUUUAUUUUUAUCGAUACAGUAGUUUUAAAAUUAAUUUAAUCCAGGAGGACUUUCUUUGAGAAAGAGCUUGAUGGAGGUGAGGGUGAUGGAAAUGAGGAAAGAGAAAAAUGCAUCUUACAAAUCCACAGUCGUGCAGCACAGCAAUAUGCCACGAUAUCUAUGGGACAGCAUGCCAGCUUCCUUCACUGAAGGGUUUUCUGGAGAUUAAGAUCCUGACAGAUUGCUCUUCAAAAUGAUUGCAACAAUUCAGAUGCCCACAAGCAUGUGACGAGAACUUUUUCCGCUAGACACUUUUAACAACAUUUGUUAUUGUCAACAUUUUGUUUUUACCAAUCGGAUGGAUGUAAAAUAAUGCCUUGUUUUAAUUUGCAUUUUAUGGCUUGCUAUUAACAUCAACAUCUGUUCACAUGUUUAUUAGCCAUUUGGGUUUUCACUUCUGUGAAAUGUUUGCUAAUGUCCUUUAUCUUCUUCAAUUGAAAUGCUUGCCUUUUUCUUAUUGCAUUUUAGUGGUUCUUUAUAUAUUCUGGAUACCUAUUCUGUGUUUAUUAAAUGUGUGACAAGUAUCUAUUCCAAGUCUAUGGUCUAUAUUUUCACUUUUUAAAUGAUAUUUUGAUGUCCUGAGCACUUUGUGUUUUUUGUUGGUUUUUAUAGUCAAA